AAGGUUCUAGUAAAACAUAUUACAUUACUUUGUCAGAGUAAAAUUGUGAGUUUAAACCCCACGUACCUUA
RNAcentral lists this transfer RNA (70 nucleotides) under Nebrius ferrugineus (tawny nurse shark). RNAcentral describes it as "tRNA-Asp". The record is from RNAcentral. Lineage: Eukaryota; Metazoa; Chordata; Chondrichthyes; Orectolobiformes; Ginglymostomatidae.